CAGGGAGGAGCCCGGUGAAAAUGCAAUACCGGUGAAGAUGCCGGUUACCUGCUGCGGGACGAAAAGACCCCAGAAGCUUUACUGCAACUUGGUAUUGAGCUUACGUUGCACAUGCGUAGCAUAGACGGGAGGCUUUGAAGUGUCGCUUUCGGGCGGCAUGGAGCCAACAGUGAAAUACCGUUCUUGUGUGGUGUAUGUUCUAACCUCGGCGUAAACCGUCGGGAGACAGUGCCUGGUGGGCAGUUUGUGUGGGGCGCAAGCCUCCUAAAAAGUAACGGAGGCGUUUAUUAAGGUCGGCUAGGCGCGGAUGGAAAUCGCGUUGAUAGGGCAAUGCCACAAGCCGGCCUGACUGCAAGGAGGACAUUCCGAGCAGACGCGAAAGCGGAACAUAGUGAUCCGAUGUCUAGUAUUAGAAACAAGGCAAAGCUCAACGGAUAAAAGCUACUCUGGGGAUAACAGGCUGGUCGCGCCCGAGCGUCCAUAGCGACGGCGCGGUUCGGCACCUCGAUGUCGGCUCGUCUUAUCCUGGUGGUGGAGAAGCUACCAAGGGUUUGGCUGUUCGCCAAUUAAAAAGGCACGCGAGCUGGGUUCAGACCGUCAACAAAAGAACCUAUAAAAAGAAAUCGAGAGCACACGGCGGCUUUCGCAAGCAAUUGCGAUUGAAAAAACCGACUCAUAUCGGUGGAUUCCUUUCAUAGACUAUCAACCUGUCAUAUGCUAGGAUAAUACCGAGGGAAGUCGUGUAUGAUUUCAAGAUUCUUCUCGGGCUAGUUAAUUCUUAUCGAGAAUUAAAUUAUUCAAAAAGAAGAAUAAAUCGUACAUUGACCCCGUAGAGACUUGUUCCAAUAAAACGGAACAGAUUUAAUCUUAUUGAUUAAAUAACACGUUGGUCUCCCGGUAAAACCGGGAUGAUGGUAUAGUCCAAUCCCGUUAGUAAUGACGGAAAAAAGAAAAUGCGUGAGACAGGUUGGUCUCCUAUCUGCAGCAGGCGCUUGAUUCUUGAGGGGAGUCUUUCCUAGUACGAGAGGACCGGAAAGAACUGACCUCUGGUCUACCAGCUGUCCCGCCCGGGGCACCGCUGGGUAGCUAUGUCGGGAAUGGAUAACCGCUGAAAGCAUCUAAGCGGGAAGCCAACCCCAAGAUAAGGAAUCAUGGAUCCCUCGAAGACUACGAGGUUGAUAGGCUCUAGGUGUAAGCGCAGUAAUGCGUUCAGCCGAGGAGUACUAAUAGAUUCUAAAGACACCAUU
Molecule: non-coding RNA, 1247 nt
Organism: Candidatus Ryanbacteria bacterium
Lineage: Bacteria; Candidatus Ryaniibacteriota
Source: Rfam